RNAcentral lists this ribosomal RNA (480 nucleotides) under Lamellibrachia barhami. RNAcentral describes it as "partial 16S ribosomal RNA". It matches the Rfam family "Bacterial large subunit ribosomal RNA", at positions 1859 to 2595 of the family's 2925-position model. Lineage: Eukaryota; Metazoa; Annelida; Polychaeta; Sabellida; Siboglinidae. The record is from RNAcentral.
CUGCCCAAUGACAACAUAGUUCAAUGGCCGCGGUACCCUGACCGUGCAAAGGUAGCAUAAUCACUUGCCCCUUAAUUAGGGGCUGGCAUGAAAGGACACACGAAAGCUUCCCUGUCUCACAAUAACAAAUAAAAAUUAAUCUUCAAGUGAAAAAGCUUGAAUCAAACUGCAGGACAAGAAGACCCCGUUGAGCUUUAUUCUCUAUAGACUAAAUUAAAUAUUAAAUAUAUCAUAAACCUAAAAAGAAUUUAGUUGGGGUGACUAAGGAACACCAAAAACUUCCUUUUAUUUAUUAGGAUCAUUCUCCAUACAAAUUGACCCAUUACACAUGAUCAAAAAAAUAAGCUACCACAGGGAUAACAGGCUAAUCUUUCUCAAGAGCCCAAAUUGUCAGAAAGGAUUGGCACCUCGAUGUUGGCUUAGGGGCCCCUAAUGGUGCAGAAGCCAUAAAUGGUAGGUUUGUGUUCAACCUGUAAAACC